UACAGAGGUCCCGAGCGUUGUUCGGAUUCAUUGGGCGUAAAGGGUGCGUAGGCGGCGGGGCCAGUCUGAUGUGAAAUCCCGGGGCUCAACCCCGGAACUGCAUUGGAUACUGCCUUGCUAGAGUACUGGAGAGGGAACUGGAAUUUACGGUGUAGCAGUGAAAUGCGUAGAGAUCGUAAGGAAGGCCGGUGGCGAAGGCGAGUUCCUGGACAGUUACUGACGCUGAGGCACGAAGGCCAGGGGAGCAAACGGG
This 253-nucleotide ribosomal RNA is filed under the name uncultured bacterium. RNAcentral's name for it is "partial 16S ribosomal RNA". It matches the Rfam family "Bacterial small subunit ribosomal RNA", at positions 524 to 776 of the family's 1533-position model. The record is from RNAcentral.